Molecule: ribosomal RNA, 619 nt
Filed under: Brachybacterium conglomeratum
Lineage: Bacteria; Bacillati; Actinomycetota; Actinomycetes; Micrococcales; Dermabacteraceae
Description: bacterial SSU rRNA
Rfam family: Bacterial small subunit ribosomal RNA
Source: RNAcentral
CUCGCGGCCUAUCAGUUUGUUGGUGAGGUGAUGGCUCACCAAGACGAUGACGGGUAGCCGGCCUGAGAGGGCGACCGGCCACACUGGGACUGAGACACGGCCCAGACUCCUACGGGAGGCAGCAGUGGGGAAUAUUGCACAAUGGGCGAAAGCCUGAUGCAGCGACGCCGCGUGGGGGAUGACGGCCUUCGGGUUGUAAACCCCUUUCAGUAGGGAAGAAGCGAGAGUGACGGUACCUGCAGAAGAAGCGCCGGCUAACUACGUGCCAGCAGCCGCGGUAAUACGUAGGGCGCAAGCGUUGUCCGGAAUUAUUGGGCGUAAAGAGCUUGUAGGUGGCUUGUCGCGUCUGCCGUGAAAACCCGAGGCUCAACCUCGGGCGUGCGGUGGGUACGGGCAGGCUAGAGUGUGGUAGGGGAGACUGGAACUCCUGGUGUAGCGGUGAAAUGCGCAGAUAUCAGGAAGAACACCGAUGGCGAAGGCAGGUCUCUGGGCCAUUACUGACACUGAGAAGCGAAAGCAUGGGUAGCGAACAGGAUUAGAUACCCUGGUAGUCCAUGCCGUAAACGUUGGGCACUAGGUGUGGGGGACAUUCCACGUUUUCCGCGCCGUAGCUAACGCA